Beta vulgaris subsp. vulgaris (sugar beet) is the source of this 3263-nucleotide RNA transcript. It is a transcript of the gene named cytochrome P450 704C1, with no coding region annotated. The record is from RefSeq and is a predicted model, not a curated record. Lineage: Eukaryota; Viridiplantae; Streptophyta; Magnoliopsida; Caryophyllales; Amaranthaceae. The transcript is spliced from 7 exons.
UUGCACUGAAAUUUCAAAAGAAAAGUUCACUCUCUUGGCUUAUAAAAUGCUUGAUACCCCAAAGAUAAUGUUACCAAACUUGCCCACUCCCUCUCCAAACCUCGACCAUGUCGCACAGCAUCACAAAUUCACAAUCAACCUUCCUAGUAUCUAGUAAAUACAAAGAAAUCAUCUUUACUCCUGCUUCCAAAAUCCUAAUAAUAAUCGAAUAAAAAUGGAAACACAUCUCGUCUAUUUCAUAUACUUGAUGACUUUGAAAAUCAUAGCUCCUGCAAUUCUAACUUUUCUGGGCAUAAAAUGGUUGACAAACAAGCUGUUUCAAAACCAUGGAAACAAAAAAUACCACCCAAUUGCUGGAACCAUGUUUCAUCAGCUCAUCAACUUCAAGAGACUUCAUCAUUACAUGACUAAUCUUGCUGCUAAGUAUAAAACUUAUAGAUUGUUAACUCCUUUUAGAAGUGAGAUUUACACCUCUGAUCCUGCUAAUGUGGAGUAUAUUCUCAAGACCAAUUUUGAUAAUUAUGGCAAGGGGGAAUAUAACUAUGGCAAUCUAAGCGAUCUACUAGGUGACGGGAUCUUUGCAGUAGACGGGGAGAAAUGGCGCCACCAAAGGAAAGUAUCAAGCUAUGAGUUUUCUACAAGGGUGUUAAGGGAUUUUAGCAGCAAAAUCUUCCGGAAAAAUGUAGUAAAACUAGCAAAAAUAAUUGCUGAUGCUGCAAAUUCUAACCAAAUCAUGGACAUUCAAGACUUGUUUAUGAAGUCAACAUUAGAUUCUAUAUUUAAAGUUGCAUUUGGAGUUGAGUUAGAUAGUAUGUGUGGCUCAAAUGAAGAAGGAAGAAGAUUUAGUCAGGCUUUUGAUGAUGCUAGUGCUUUAUCCCUGUACCGAUAUGUAGACAUCUUCUGGCGCAUAAAGAAAUAUCUCAACAUCGGUGCAGAGGCUAAACUGAAGAAAAACAUCAAAAUCGUCGAUGAUUUUGUUUACAGAUUGAUCACUAACAAAGUGGAGCUAAUGAAAAGUUCGGGAAGCAACUAUUCAGAAAUGCAGAUGAAGAAAGAUGAUAUCUUGUCGAGAUUCUUGGAGCAGUGCAACACUGAUUUUAAGUAUUUGAGAGACAUAAUCUUGAACUUUGUGAUUGCUGGCAAAGACACCACGGCAGCUACACUUUCCUGGUUUAUCUACAUGCUUUGUAAACACCAGAAAGUACAGGAAAAGAUUGCUGAAGAGGUAAGGAAAGUUACUAACAUGGAAAAGGUAGGAAGUUUUUCAGAAUUUGAAGCUAGUGUGAGUGAAGAAUCACUUGAAAGGAUGCAGUAUCUACAUGCUGCAUUGACAGAGACUCUCAGACUCUAUCCAGCAGUUCCCGUGGAUGCAAAGAUAUGUUUUUCGGAUGAUACACUUCCUGAUGGUUAUAGUGUGAAGAAAGGGGACAUGGUGUCUUACCAGCCCUAUGCAAUGGGAAGGAUGAGAUUUAUAUGGGGUGAUGAUGCAGAGGAAUAUCGUCCAGAAAGAUGGCUUAAUGAGGAUGGCAUAUUCCAGCCAGAGAAUCCGUUUAAGUUCACAGCCUUUCAGGCAGGUCCACGAAUUUGCCUUGGAAAGGAAUUUGCUUACAGGCAGAUGAAGAUUUUUUCUGCUGUUCUGUUGAGCAGUUUCAUCUUCAAACUCAGUGAUGAGAAAAGCACUGUAAAUUAUAGGACAAUGAUAAACCUUCACAUUGAUGGCGGCUUACACAUUCGUGCGCUUCUUCGAGAGUAAAUAGUUGUAUUUAUAGCUUUAACAUACUCAAUCAUAGAAGUAUCUCUCUAAGGUUUAUAUCUUCCACCUUUUUUAUUUAUUUUAACAUGAGCUAACGACUCAGUUUGCUAUGCGUCAAUAAAAUGCUGAAGAUAGGGAAGAAACCAACUAUCAGUACAAGAAGGCGGAUAUUGGCUAGGAAAGAGCAGGCGGGUAUACUGAUUUUUCUUAGUAAGGAACGAAGAUACUUUCUGCUGUACUGUUGAGCAGUUUCAUCUUUAAAUUUGGUAAUGAGGAAAGUACUGCAAGUUACAUAACAAUAUUAACCCUUCAAAUCAAUGAUGGCUUAUUUUUUCGGGCUAUCCUCGAAAAUACGGCCACCAGAAGAAUUAGAAAUCAAAGGUCCCCCCUCUCCUCCCUCUCCUAUGCAGCUGCAUGAUGUGAUACCAUACUGUAGAAGUUCACCUAAAUUGAAACUAACGAUGGUCCUCGUACUUUCUUUUUCUUCUUUUUGGCAAGUAAAAUGGUCCUUGUACUUUCAACGAAGGUAUAUGUCUGUCCAACUAACUAAUACAAGUAUAUUUACUCUUGGAGAUCAUCAAUACUUUCAAGCUGCACUAAUUUCUGGAGUUAGUGAAGUCAAUCAUCUCAAAGGACAGUGCUAUAUAUUUUUUAAAAAAAUUGCAUUUCAUUCAAUGCUGGGACCAAAGAUAUUCGUUCAGAGCACACAAAAGCCUUCAUACUACCAGCUACAAAAUUUCAUAAUGGAGUUGAUAAAAAGUUACGUGCAGGUAUCAUAACAAAUCUGGGGAAGUGCUCACGGGAGGAAGGUGACUUCCUGGUCUGUUAGUCCACCCUUUACGACUUCUAUAGGCCUCAAUAGCCUGUAAACGUAGCCUCUCACGUGAAGCAUCUAGAGUUUUCUUGUGUGCCUGUACAGGUGUAGAGAAAUUUUUUUGAUCAAGAAAUGUAAUAAUAUGCAACACAAAAGAUUGUAGAUAAUAUGCUCCUUACAGGAUUAAAAGACAACUUCGGUGGAGCUUCGACAACCUCCCCAAAUUUGACAACAUCUUGCUUUGGAAGAUCUAGAAUCUCCUCUGGCUUGCCUUUCUUUAUUUUCUUUUUCUUUGCUUUUAAAAACCUGUAUCACGACAUGGGCUAAAAUUAAUACAAGUUCAGAUGCACCAAAACAAGGAAGCAUGGAUCAUGAUAGAAACAUCCAAGUCGCAUCUGGGUCAGCACAAUAUUUGAAACAAUCUCAUAUGCAAGCAAAGAUGCUUUCAUUUCAUUCCUGCUCAAGAGGGCUUUUUUUAAAAAGUAAGAAAAACAUUUUCUGUUUUUUUUUUUGGGGGUGGGGGGGGUCAAAUAAUGUGAAGGCUUACUCUUUCUUCCUCUGCUUUCUUUUUGAAACAACACCCAACUUUUCCAGCUCUGCUUCAAACCGAAGGUCAUUUGCCUGCUUUUUCUUUCGUUUCUUUUUCACUGUCUCUUCAUUUGCUUCUUUGCUCACGAUUUCUUGAGGAACCGUUGU